Molecule: ribosomal RNA, 601 nt
Filed under: uncultured Rhabdolaimus
Lineage: Eukaryota; Metazoa; Nematoda; Enoplea; Enoplida; Rhabdolaimidae
Description: bacterial SSU rRNA
Rfam family: Eukaryotic small subunit ribosomal RNA
Source: RNAcentral
UCCAAGGGAGGCAGCAGGCACGCAAAUUACCCACUCCCGGCACGGGGAGGUAGUGACGAAAAAUAACGAGACGGCUCGCUAUGCGGUCCGUCAUCGGAAUGAGUACAAUUUAAAUCCUUUAACGAGGAUCUAGUGGAGGGCAAGUCUGGUGCCAGCAGCCGCGGUAAUUCCAGCUCCGCAAGUGUAUUCCUAUACUGUUGCGGUUAAAAAGCUCGUAGUUGGAUCUGAGUGUUUAGCGCUUGGUGCAGUUCUGCUGUUACUGAGUGCGGCACAUAAUCGCCAAUUGGUUGCCAUCGUUGCCUUAACCGGUGAUGGUGGUUGACUGUUGGCAUGUUUACUUUGAACAAAUCAGAGUGCUCAAUACGGGCGUUUCGCUUGUAUGGUCGUGCAUGGAAUAAUAGAAUAGGACCUUGGUUCUAUUUUGUUGGUUUUCGGAAUCAAGUAAUUAUUAAGAGGGACAGACGGGGGCAUUCCUACUGCAACCUGAGAGGUGAAAUUCUUGGAUCGUUGCAAGACGAACUACUGCGAAAGCAUUUGCCAAGAAUGUUUUCAUUAAUCCAGAACCAAAGUAAUGGGGUUCCAAGGCGAUCCGAUACCGCCC